GGUUGUGGCUCAGUGGUAGAGCCCUUAUCUAGCAUGUGUGAGGCCCUGGGUUCAAUCAUCAGCACCA
RNAcentral lists this transfer RNA (67 nucleotides) under Marmota monax (woodchuck). RNAcentral describes it as "tRNA.Ala". The record is from RNAcentral. Lineage: Eukaryota; Metazoa; Chordata; Mammalia; Rodentia; Sciuridae.